UACGAAGGGAGCUAGCGUUGUUCGGAAUCACUGGGCGUAAAGCGCACGUAGGCGGAUUUGUAAGUCAGGGGUGAAAUCCCGGGGCUCAACCCCGGAAUUGCCUUUAAGACUGCAUCGCUUGAAUCCGGGAGAGGUGAGUGGAAUUCCGAGUGUAGAGGUGAAAUUCGUAGAUAUUCGGAAGAACACCAGUGGCGAAGGCGGCUCACUGGACCGGCAUUGACGCUGAGGUGCGAAAGCGUGGGGAGCAAACAGG
This 253-nucleotide ribosomal RNA is filed under the name uncultured bacterium. Its description in RNAcentral is "partial 16S ribosomal RNA". It matches the Rfam family "Bacterial small subunit ribosomal RNA", at positions 524 to 776 of the family's 1533-position model. The record is from RNAcentral.